CAUUGAGGGUGAUUUCAAAAGCACCUGUAGACAUACACUGAUUCUCGAUCAUAUUGCUGAAGAAGAACACCAUCAUACAGGCAUAUAUCUAAAAAAAAAAAAAAAAAUUAUAAUAAUAAUAAAAUAAAUAAAUAAUAGAAAAAAAUGUAAACACGCAUUGCUGCAGAUAUUUUGUUUGUACAUACUUGAAUACUUUAUUUUGUGGAUAGUUUAUAUGAAACGUGUGUGCUACUUUUUUCACACUGAAACAUACACAAAAUAAUAGUAAAAUAAAUAAAAUGUAAAGAAUGCUGAAGCUUUUCUUCUGUACUUUUAAAGGGAUACUCCACCCCCAAAAUGAAAAUUUUGUCAUUAAUCACUUACCCCCAUGUCGUUCCAAACCCGUAAAAGCUCUGUUUGUCUUCGAAACACAAUUUAAGAUAUUUUAGAUGAAAACCGGGAGGCUUGAGACUGUCCCAUAGACUGCCAAGUAAAUAACAGUGUUAAGGUCCAUAAAAGGUAUGAAAGUCGUCUUCAGAAUACUCCAUCUGCCAUGAGACGUGCAAUCUGGGUUAUAUGAAGCGACGGGAACACUUUUUGUAAGCAAAGAAAACUAAAAUAACGACUUUAUUCAACAAUUCCUUUGUCAACGGUCUCCUCUGUGUCUCUCCAUAUCACUGUAUGCUCUUUUGUAUCAUCUGCAUAUCAAAUCAAAGCUAAAUACACCUGGAAACAGUGCAUCCUUGUGGCGCAGAUGAUACAGUCACAGGCCUCCAGGUUUUCAUCCAAAAUAUCUUAAAUUGUGUUCUGAAGAUGAACGGUGCUUUUACGGCUUUGGAACGACAUGGGGGUAAGUGAUUAAUGACAAAAUUUUCAUUUUGGGGUGGAGUAUCACUUUAAGACCACAUGAAAUAAAAAUUUACAAACUUCAUUUUGUUAGCACUCAUUGCUAGUCUUGAGUUGAUCCGCUGAAAAAAAUUGUUUGUCUUGGUAAUCUUUCAUCAAAAUCUGAAUAUUUGCUUCCGCUCUGGAAUGGCAUUCAUUCCUUCUCUCUUUAAUAUUCUGUUUCAGUCAGAAAUAUGUCACUAUACUGAAAGUCGGCAACAGCUUCUGGUUCACAUGCCUAAAUUUCAGAAAUAGUGCAGAAAGAGUCAGGUGAACAUUAACACAUGAGCUUGCUCUUUGCUCUCUAGUGUAUUACACUCUUCAAUAACCACAGACGUCACUGAGGUAAACAAAGUUACAAACUAAUGAGCUCCAUGGGGAAAAAGUUUGUAUUUGGAACCUACUACUCAGAUAUAUUUCAGUUAAGAACAAGAAUCUAAACCACUAAAUGAAAAAAAUCUCAACAGGAGAAGUCUGAGGUCUUGCCUUAUUCUCUUGACUCCAAACCCAGAGACCUGGGGCCUGCAUGCCAAAUAGAGCAAAUGGAUCCUUGCCCACAAUGAUCACGCCGAUUAGCAACAGCUUAAACAUAGACAGAAAGGAAGCAAUGUGCCUUGGGGUGAAGAAAAAAAAAAGACACUAUAUAAAUAAAUAUUUCAUACACAAAUACAUGCACAUACAUACACUAGUAGAAUUAGUAGCAUUAUUGUUUGUAGAAGUGUUGCUGGUCUUUGUCUUUUUACAGAAACACUAAAUGACCAACAAUGCCUCAAGCACCAUGCAGCCCAUUAUUCUUUACAAUUAUUUUAAUAUAAAAUGUAUUCCUUUGAUGCAAAGCUGAAUUUUUCGCAUCAUUAGUCUUAUAUUAUUCAAUGUCACAUGAUCCUUCAGAAAUCAUUCUAAUAUGCUGAUUUUCUGCUCAGUUAUUAAUAUUUAAUAUGGUUCUUAUUAUAAUCAGUUAAAAACCAUUUUUUGCUGCUUAAUAUUUUGUGGAAACAUUUUUCAGGUUUUUUUUUUUUUUUUUUUGAAGAAUAGAAAGUUCACAAUAACAGCCUUUUUUUUAAAAUAUAUAAUCUUUUGUAACAUUAUACGUUUUACUAUCUCUUUUGAUCCAUAAUGAAUAUUUGCUGAAUAAAAGCAUUAAUUUCUAUAAACAACACACACACCUCAAACAUUUGAAUGGCAGUAUAUAAUGGUUUCUGCAAAAAUAUUAAGCAGUGCAACUGAUUUUAGUAUUAAUAAUAAUAAUAAAAAAAGUGUUUCUUUAGCAGCAAACCAGCAUAUUAGAAUGAUUUCUGAAAGAUCAUGUGAAAAAAGAAAAGAAAAAACUAUUUACCAUCAAAUAAAUUAUUUACAUUUUUAAAACAUUACAAUAGAAUACAGUUAUUUUAAAUUGUAAUACUAUUUUACAAUAUUAGUGUGUUUAUUUUAUUUGUGAGCACAUAACUGCAGCAUUGGUGAGCACAAGAGACUUCAUAAAAACACUUAAAAAUCAUAAUAUUUCCAAACUUUUGGAAGUCAGUGGUGAUUAUUUUGCAAAGACGUGCGAGUGUGUGUGUGGCCACAAGGGUAGAAGACAUGUAAGUGGUUUGUAAGUGAUUACCUGUAGACAGGCAGAGGAAGGUAGUUCUCUCCUUCUAUGCG
This is a long non-coding RNA of Cyprinus carpio carpio, 2508 nucleotides long. NCBI's taxonomy places the organism in Eukaryota, Metazoa, Chordata, Actinopteri, Cypriniformes, Cyprinidae. The record is from Ensembl.